UUUUCCCCUCUUUUCCCCUUCUCUAAAAUUUCCCCAAUUUUCCCGUUUUUCCAAUCUCCCUCCCUUUCACCAUACACCUUGCCUUUACUUCGUCGUGCACGCCCUCGCAACCCCUUGUCGCACGCGCCGCAACUCUUCUUUCCACGCCGCACGCCACUACAACCCUCGUAGCACGCCGCACGCCGCCACCAAGUUUUUUCAAGGUAACCUUCUCUAUCGAAUUGGUGCUAUAAAUGAUCCGGGGUUCGUGAGGUGAGGUUUUCUAGCAUAGGGGAUUACAAGAGCUUUACAAUGAUUGCUGAAACAUCAUAGACCAUACUGAUAAGCUUUGAACAUUCUCUAAUUACACGAAAUCGAUUCAAAGAAAGACAAUUUGAAACGACGAAUACAGAAAUCAAUUCAACCAAAAUCGUCAACAUAGUCGAAGUAGAAGUGUACUUGGGAGUAGAAGACGUGGUACAAUGGGAGAAAUGGAACAAUCAAAGAUAUGGUUGUUAGAAGGUAAAAUAUGACUUCUUAAUUGGCUGUUCUGUUUCAGCCCAUAUUGUGUUUGGGGUAAUGCUUGACUGAAUUUAACCCAAUUAGUUUUGCAGAAAGAGUGUGAAUGUUGGAAAUGGUGGUUGCGCUUGAUAAUUUAAGUUAUUUUUAGCUUGCCCAGUUAAGAAAAUAGCAUCUCCCAAACUUGUAGAUUAAGUUAUCUGAUCAUUGAGACAUGUUCAAGCUUCUACUUUUAAGUUUUUGUAAUUUUACUUCUUCUCUUCUUUCAGGUUUUUUUUUUAAAGUUCACUUUCUAGUUUAAUCCUCUGCCAUUGGAAUGUUCUGCAAAUCAUCUAAUUAAAUCCAUAAAUUGGUAUCCAAUUUUCCAUCUUUUCCAUAAAUUUGCAAUGCCAAGCUGGUUAUAUGUUGAA
Cucumis sativus (cucumber) is the source of this 908-nucleotide long non-coding RNA. RefSeq lists it as uncharacterized. NCBI's taxonomy places the organism in Eukaryota, Viridiplantae, Streptophyta, Magnoliopsida, Cucurbitales, Cucurbitaceae. The record is from RefSeq and is a predicted model, not a curated record. The transcript is spliced from 2 exons.